GUAGGGCGCAAGCGUUGUCCGGAAUUAUUGGGCGUAAAGAGCUCGUAGGCGGCUUGUCACGUCGGUUGUGAAAGCCCGGGGCUUAACCCCGGGUCUGCAGUCGAUACGGGCAGGCUAGAGUUCGGUAGGGGAGAUCGGAAUUCCUGGUGUAGCGGUGAAAUGCGCAGAUAUCAGGAGGAACACCGGUGGCGAAGGCGGAUCUCUGGGCCGAUACUGACGCUGAGGAGCGAAAGCGUGGGGAGCGAACAGGAUUAGAUACCCUGGUAGUCCACGCCGUAAACGGUGGGCACUAGGUGUGGGCAACAUUCCACGUUGUCCGUGCCGCAGCUAACGCAUUAAGUGCCCCGCCU
This 350-nucleotide ribosomal RNA is filed under the name Streptomyces sp. SA3_actJ. RNAcentral describes it as "bacterial SSU rRNA". It matches the Rfam family "Bacterial small subunit ribosomal RNA", at positions 527 to 874 of the family's 1533-position model. The record is from RNAcentral. Lineage: Bacteria; Bacillati; Actinomycetota; Actinomycetes; Kitasatosporales; Streptomycetaceae.